AACUCAAAGGNAUUGACGGGGGGCCCGCACAAGCACNGGAUUAUGNNGUUUAAUUNGGAAACAAACGCGAAGAACCUUACCAGGUNUUGACAUCGGAGUGACGAACUCAGAGAUNGAGUUUUUNCUUCGGGACACAAAGACAGGUGGUGCAUGGUGGUCGUCAGCUCGCGUCCGUGAGAUGUUGGGUUAAGUCCCGCAACGAGCGCAACCCUUGUCAUUAGUUGCUACGCAAGAGCACUCUAAUGAGACCGCUACCGACAAGGUGGAGGAAGGUGGGGAUGACGUCAAAUCAUCAUGCCCCUUAUGACCUGGGCUACACACGUAAUACAAUGGCCGUCAACAGAGGGAAGCGAAACCGCGAGGCGGAGCAAAACCCUAAAAACGGUCUCAGUUCAGAUUGCAGGCUGCAACCCGCCUGCAUGAAGGUGGAAUUGCUAGUAAUCGCGGAUCAGCAUGCCGCGGUGAAUACGUUCCCGGGCCUUGUACACACCGCCCGUCACACCAUGGGAGUUUGUAACACCCGAAGUCCAUAGCCUAACCGCAAGGAGGACGUGGCCGAAGGUGGGAUAAGCGACUGGGGUGAAGUCGUAACAAGGUAGCCGUAUCGGAAGGUGCGGCUGGAUCACCU
RNAcentral lists this ribosomal RNA (628 nucleotides) under uncultured Clostridia bacterium. Its description in RNAcentral is "bacterial SSU rRNA". It matches the Rfam family "Bacterial small subunit ribosomal RNA", at positions 898 to 1528 of the family's 1533-position model. The record is from RNAcentral. Lineage: Bacteria; Bacillati; Bacillota; Clostridia.